RNAcentral lists this ribosomal RNA (1506 nucleotides) under Haematoloechus sibiricus. RNAcentral describes it as "SSU rRNA". It matches the Rfam family "Eukaryotic small subunit ribosomal RNA", at positions 46 to 1400 of the family's 1831-position model. Lineage: Eukaryota; Metazoa; Platyhelminthes; Trematoda; Plagiorchiida; Haematoloechidae. The record is from RNAcentral.
UAGCCAUGCAUGUCUAAGUACAUACCUUUAAACGGUGAAACCGCGAAUGGCUCAUUAAAUCAGCUAUGGUUCCUUAGAUCGUACCUACUACAUGGAUAACUGUAGUAAUUCUAGAGCUAAUACAUGCCACUAUGCCCUGACCCGCAAGGGGACGGGUGGAUUUAUUAGAACAGAACCAACCGUGUUGUGGCUUCGGCUGCUUCCGUUGCACUCUGUGAUGACUCUGGAUAACUUCACUGAUCGCAGUCGGCCUUGAGUCGGCGACGGAUCUUUCAAAUGUCUGCCCUAUCAAUUUUCGAUGGUAGGUGACCUGCCUACCAUGGUGAUAACGGGUAACGGGGAAUCAGGGUUCGAUUCCGGAGAGGGAGCCUGAGAAACGGCUACCACUUCCAAGGAAGGCAGCAGGCGCGCAAACUACCCAAUCCCGGAACGGGGAGGUGGUGACGAAAAAUACGGAUACGGGACUCAAUUGAGGCUCCGUAAUUCGAAUGAGUACAAUUUAAAUCCUUUAACGAGGAUCAACUGGAGGGCAAGUCUGGUGCCAGCAGCCGCGGUAACUCCAGCUCCAGAAGCGUAUAUUAAAGUUGUUGCAGUUAAAAAGCUCGUAGUUGGAUCUGGGUCGUAUGGCUGCGUGCUGUUGCUCGUAUUCCUGACUUGGUUAACGCUGGGCCGGGUUUGCGGGUCGGUGUCGUGGCUGUGCAGCCUUUCUGCCGUGUCUGUUUUUACAGGUGCCGGCCUAAUCGAUGGGUUCAUCUCGUUGGUUGGUUGGCAUGCUCUUUGAUGCCUUUGAACGGGUGUCGGGGGCGGACGGUGCGUUUACUUUGAACAAAUUUGAGUGCUCAAAGCAGGCUUGUGCCUGAAAAUUCUUGCAUGGAAUAAUGGAAUAGGACUUCGGUUCUAUUUUGUUGGUUUUCGGAUCCGAAGUAAUGGUUAAGAGGGACAGACGGGGGCAUUUGUAUGGCGGUGUUAGAGGUGAAAUUCUUGGAUCGCCGCCAGACAAACUACAGCGAAAGCAUUUGCCAAGGAUGUUUUCAUUGAUCUGGAGCGAAAGUCAGAGGUUCGAAGACGAUCAGAUACCGUCCUAGUUCUGACCAUAAACGAUGCCAACUGACGAUCCGUGGGUGAUCUUUUAAUGACCCUGCGGGCAGUCCCCGGGAAACCUUUAAGUCUUUGGGCUCCGGGGGAAGUAUGGUUGCAAAGCUGAAACUUAAAGGAAUUGACGGAAGGGCACCACCAGGAGUGGAGCCUGCGGCUUAAUUCGACUCAACACGGGAAAACUCACCCGGCCCGGACACUGUGAGGAUUGACAGAUUGAUAGCUCUUUCUUGAUUCGGUGGUUGGUGGUGCAUGGCCGUUCUUAGUUGGUGGAGCGAUUUGUCUGGUUAAUUCCGAUAACGAACGAGACUUUGGCCUGCUAAAUAGUGUACCUGUCCUCUGUGCUCGUGUAGGUGGCGGUUUUCUCUGCCCGUUCGCGGGUGGGUGAGGCUGUUCAUCGGCGGGUACUGC